GCCAGCAGCCGCGGUAAUACGUAGGGUGCGAGCGUUAAUCGGAAUUACUGGGCGUAAAGCGUGCGCAGGCGGUUUUGUAAGACAGGCGUGAAAUCCCCGGGCUCAACCUGGGAAUGGCGCUUGUGACUGCAAAGCUGGAGUGCGGCAGAGGGGGAUGGAAUUCCGCGUGUAGCAGUGAAAUGCGUAGAUAUGCGGAGGAACACCGAUGGCGAAGGCAAUCCCCUGGGCCUGCACUGACGCUCAUGCACGAAAGCGUGGGGAGCAAACAGGAUUAGAUACCCUGGUAGUCCACGCCCUAAACGAUGUCAACUGGUUGUUGGUCCUUAGCUGGAUCAGUAACGAAGCUAACGCGUGAAGUUGACCGCCUGGGGAGUACGGCCGCAAGGUUGUAACUCAAAGGAAUUGACGGGGACCCGCACAAGCGGUGGAUGAUGUGGUUUAAUUCGAUGCAACGCGAAAAACCUUACCCACCUUUGACAUGGCAGGAAGGCUUCAGAGAUGAGGCUGUGCUCGAAAGAGAACCUGCACACAGGUGCUGCAUGGUUGUCGUCAGCUCGUGUCGUGAGAUGUUGGGUUAAGUCCCGCAACGAGCGCAACCCUUGCCAUUAGUUGCUACGAAAGGGCACUCUAAUGGGACUGCC
This 641-nucleotide ribosomal RNA is filed under the name uncultured bacterium. Its description in RNAcentral is "bacterial SSU rRNA". It matches the Rfam family "Bacterial small subunit ribosomal RNA", at positions 507 to 1153 of the family's 1533-position model. The record is from RNAcentral.